CCCCCAGGUGCCACUGAUUGGAUGCGGGUCAGGGUGACGCUACAUAAAACAGAACACAAAGCUAUCAGGCGGCCUCUAAGGACACGUUUGUGGGUUUCCCAAAGCGUCGCAGGGUUGAUUCUUGUUUGUAGGCUGUAUUGGGGUUUGCCGGUGGAUGUGUCCUGUAAAGGAUUUAUAUAUGAUAUUCAUCUCGCCCCCGAUGAGCAACAGGCCCUCCGUGAAUGUCUUCAA
This is a long non-coding RNA of Xenopus laevis (African clawed frog), 231 nucleotides long. RefSeq lists it as uncharacterized. The transcript is spliced from 3 exons. NCBI's taxonomy places the organism in Eukaryota, Metazoa, Chordata, Amphibia, Anura, Pipidae. The record is from RefSeq and is a predicted model, not a curated record.